GUUAAGUGGGAAACGAUGUGGGAAGGCCCAGACAGCCAGGAUGUUGGCUUAGAAGCAGCCAUCAUUUAAAGAAAGCGUAAUAGCUCACUGGUCGAGUCGGCCUGCGCGGAAGAUGUAACGGGGCUAAACUAUGCACCGAAGCUGCGGCAGCGACACUAUGUGUUGUUGGGUAGGGGAGCGUUCUGUAAGCCUGUGAAGGUGUGUCGUGAGGCAUGCUGGAGGUAUCAGAAGUGCGAAUGCUGACAUAAGUAACGAUAAAGCGGGUGAAAAGCCCGCUCGCCGGAAGACCAAGGGUUCCUGUCCAACGUUAAUCGGGGCAGGGUGAGUCGACCCCUAAGGCGAGGCCGAAAGGCGUAGUCGAUGGGAAACGGGUUAAUAUUCCCGUACUUGGUGUUACUGCGAAGGGGGGACGGAGAAGGCUAUGUUGGCCGGGCGACGGUUGUCCCGGUUUAAGCGUGUAGGUGUGUGUUCCAGGUAAAUCCGGUUCACUUUAACACUGAGGCGUGAUGACGAGGCACUACGGUGCUGAAGCAACAAAUGCCCUGCUUCCAGGAAAAGCCUCUAAGCAUCAGGUAACAUCAAAUCGUACCCCAAACCGACACAGGUGGUCAGGUAGAGAAUACCAAGGCGCUUGAGAGAACUCGGGUGAAGGAACUAGGCAAAAUGGUGCCGUAACUUCGGGAGAAGGCACGCUGACACGUAGGUGAAGUGAUUUACUCAUGGAGCUGAAGUCAGUCGAAGAUACCAGCUGGCUGCAACUGUUUAUUAAAAACACAGCACUGUGCAAACACGAAAGUGGACGUAUACGGUGUGACGCCUGCCCGGUGCCGGAAGGUUAAUUGAUGGGGUCAGCGCAAGCGAAGCUCCUGAUCGAAGCCCCGGUAAACGGCGGCCGUAACUAUAACGGUCCUAAGGUAGCGAAAUUCCUUGUCGGGUAAGUUCCGACCUGCACGAAUGGCGUAAUGAUGGCCAGGCUGUCUCCACCCGAGACUCAGUGAAAUUGAACUCGCUGUGAAGAUGCAGUGUACCCGCGGCAAGACGGAAAGACCCCGUGAACCUUUACUAUAGCUUGACACUGAACAUUGAGCCUUGAUGUGUAG
RNAcentral lists this ribosomal RNA (1100 nucleotides) under Salmonella enterica. RNAcentral's name for it is "partial 23S ribosomal RNA". It matches the Rfam family "Bacterial large subunit ribosomal RNA", at positions 1058 to 2141 of the family's 2925-position model. RNAcentral also lists the same sequence under 1 other name. The record is from RNAcentral. Lineage: Bacteria; Pseudomonadati; Pseudomonadota; Gammaproteobacteria; Enterobacterales; Enterobacteriaceae.